AACGAACGCUGGCGGCAGGCUUAACACAUGCAAGUCGAGCGCCCCGCAAGGGGAGCGGCAGACGGGUGAGUACCGCGUGGGAACGUACCUUUUGGUUCGGAACAACUCCGGGAAACUGGAGCUAAUACCGGAUAAGCCCUAACGGGGAAAGAUUUAUCGCCGAAAGAUCGGCCCGCGUCUGAUUAGCUAGUUGGUGAGGUAACGGCUCACCAAGGCGACGAUCAGUAGCUGGUCUGAGAGGAUGAUCAGCCACACUGGGACUGAGACACGGCCCAGACUCCUACGGGAAGAAGCAGUGGGGAAUAUUGGACAAUGGGCGCAAGCCUGAUCCAGCCAUGCCGCGUGAGUGAUGAAGGCCUUAGGGUUGUAAAGCUCUUUUGUCCGGGAAGAUAAUGACUGUACCGGAAGAAUAAGCCCCGGCUAACUUCGUG
RNAcentral lists this ribosomal RNA (431 nucleotides) under uncultured bacterium. RNAcentral describes it as "partial 16S ribosomal RNA". It matches the Rfam family "Bacterial small subunit ribosomal RNA", at positions 29 to 507 of the family's 1533-position model. The record is from RNAcentral.